CACAUGUAGGAUCAACCACCGCUGCGUCGCUCAAAUACACCUCAGUAUUCCCUGCUCCAUUCCACAAGUCACCAAGCUGGCCCUCCUCUAAUUCGGUUCCGUCUUUUUCCGAUGAUUUUUCGAUGAUUUUCCGAUGAUUUUUGGGUCCAAUCCUUUUUGGUACGAGCUGGCGGCACGUCAUCGACACAUGCACAACUGCCACUGCUCACUUCAUAACCUGGCUGCAAUUGCUACGCAGGGUUUUAAAUCUUCCGCCACCUUUGGUUACUUGCCGCCUGAGAAGAUAAAUGAUGAAAAAAUCGAAACAAACGAAACGAAACGAAACGAAACCGCACGUCAAUCGCACCCCAA
RNAcentral lists this long non-coding RNA (351 nucleotides) under Physcomitrium patens. RNAcentral's name for it is "long non-coding RNA (PPAT_LNC010514)". Lineage: Eukaryota; Viridiplantae; Streptophyta; Bryopsida; Funariales; Funariaceae. The record is from RNAcentral.